GGGGAUAUAGCUCAGUUGGUAGAGUGCUUGCCUAGCAUGCACGAGGUCCUGGGUUCAAUCCCCAGCACCA
Molecule: transfer RNA, 70 nt
Filed under: Marmota marmota marmota (Alpine marmot)
Lineage: Eukaryota; Metazoa; Chordata; Mammalia; Rodentia; Sciuridae
Also listed under: 3 other names
Rfam family: tRNA
About the family: Transfer RNA (tRNA) molecules are approximately 80 nucleotides in length.
Source: Rfam by way of RNAcentral